RNAcentral lists this unclassified non-coding RNA (216 nucleotides) under Hevea brasiliensis (rubber tree). Lineage: Eukaryota; Viridiplantae; Streptophyta; Magnoliopsida; Malpighiales; Euphorbiaceae. The record is from RNAcentral.
GGAAGUAUCUGUGGUCACUGAAGGUGUCACACUUCCAUUUAGCCUGGAAAGCAAGUUUGUCGAGUAUUCAGAACCUGAUGUAGUCGGUACACAAGUUGUUGAUGCAGAUCCUUGUGAUUCUGCUAACAAAUUUCUCAAGUUUACAGAAACUGUAGGAGUUGGCACACAAGUCAGUAAUGCAGAACCUUAUGAAUCUGCUCGCAAAAUUGAGUAUGU